GGGGCCUGCGUGGGGCUCGGGGCGCACGUGUCGCGGGAAAUGGAGUGGACACCGGGGGCUUCAGGGGAAGACAUCCAAACGACCGGGAGUCACGCGUGGACUCUUUCGCGCGAGGUUACCAAGCAUGUCCUGAAGAUGAAGAUACUCUCAGCCUAACGUCUCCAAGCAAAUAUUGAUUCAGCAGUAUCCCCAGGCAAAGCCACACCAUAUAUCAGUGAACAGAGAAACAACUGCCCUUCUCCGGGCCCCUGUCUGAGAAGCUGGAGCAUCAGCCCUGGAGCUCUCCGGAGCAGUUUCCUUGCUCACUGUCCCCAGCUGAACACAGCCGCAUGCAGAGGUCCAAAGCACGUAAACAGGAUACCCACCCUGCAUUAUCUUAUAUUUUAAGUCAAUAUGAAGAUGGACAUUCUACCCCUGAGACCAAUUUCGAUCAAAUACUUUUGUCAAUAAAAAGAUACUAAUGAAAAAAAAAAAAAAAAAA
This 481-nucleotide long non-coding RNA is filed under the name Mus musculus (house mouse). Its description in RNAcentral is "cerebellin 1 precursor protein opposite strand, transcript variant 2 (Cbln1os)". Lineage: Eukaryota; Metazoa; Chordata; Mammalia; Rodentia; Muridae. The record is from RNAcentral.